Molecule: long non-coding RNA, 359 nt
Filed under: Vombatus ursinus (common wombat)
Lineage: Eukaryota; Metazoa; Chordata; Mammalia; Diprotodontia; Vombatidae
Description: lncRNA (ENSVURG00010003433.1)
Source: RNAcentral
AGUUGGUUUAUUAAGAAUUCAUCUCUUCCUGCUGUUUACGGGUUGCCUAAAGUUCCACUCCCCCACAUGUGACAUCACCACCGAUGACUAGAUUGCGCCAACAUUCUGUAAGCGGCAGGUGAAAGAGGCAGCAAAGAAGCCACAAAGAAGUCUUAAGAGACAGCAAUGAUUGUCUUCGGCUCCUAUCUAUCCACAGAGGUGUACCCUCUCUAAUAGUCUACCAGUACCUGUGAUCACAUCUCCUUCAGCCCCUAUUUUCACCAUAGACACAACCAUGACUUCAACACUAACCCCAGACACACUAGGACUCUCCUCACAUCCCAUUUAAAGGUGAAGCACUCUCUCCUGCCUUCCUCCCG